UGGCCUGAGUUUUGUCCGCUUUGAGCACA
RNAcentral lists this non-coding RNA (29 nucleotides) under Homo sapiens (human). Lineage: Eukaryota; Metazoa; Chordata; Mammalia; Primates; Hominidae. The record is from RNAcentral.